AGUCCAAGGUUUCCAGGGGAAGGUUUGUCCGCCCUGGGGAAGUCGGGACCUAAGCAUAAGCAAAAUUGUGAUGGCGAAUGGAAAACAGGUUAAUAUUCCUGUACCGCUGUUAUCGCCUGAGAGACGGAGUGACGCAGGAAGGUAUGCGGGAAGGCUGACGGAAUAGCCUUUCUAAGGGCGUAGCAUGGGCAUGCAGGAAAAUCCGCAUGCCUAAAUGUGAGACCUGACGGGUAAGUGCAUCUUGCAUAAGCCGCAGAUCCUACACUGCCGAGAAAAACUUCUAUCGAUGAGAAGCAGCGCCCGUACUGUAAACCGACACAGGUGGACAGAGUGAGAAACUUAAGGCCGACAGGAUAACUCUAGCUAAGGAACUCUGCAAAAUAGCCCCGUAACUUCGGGAGAAGGGGUGCCUGACAUACCUGAAGGAGAGAAGCGCUCCAAGGGGAAACAGGCCGCAGUGAAGAGUCUCAAGCAACUGUUUACCAAAAACACAGGUCUAUGCUAAGCUGAAAGGCGACGUAUAUGGGCUGACACCUGCCCAGUGCCGGAAGGUUAAGAGGAGGAUUGAGAGAUCCGAAUUGAAGCCCCGGUGAACGGCGGCCGUAACUAUAACGGUCCUAAGGUAGCGAAAUUCCUUGUCGGGUAAGUUCCGACCUGCACGAAUGGUGAAAUGAUUUGAGAGCUGUCUUGGCUGGAGACCUGGUGAAGUUGUAAUGCCGGUGAAGAUACCGGCUACCUGCAGUAGGACGGAAAGACCCCGUGGAGCUUUACUGUAGCUUGGCAUUGGGUUCUGGCAAUGUGUGUAUAGGAUAGUUGGGAGACUAUGAUGUAAUGGCGUCAGUCAUUGCUGAGUCGCUGUUGGAAUACCAACCAUAUGUUGUCGGAAUUCUAAUCUGGCAACGGAGACAGUGCUAGGUGGGCAGUUUGACUGGGGCGGUCGCCUCCCAAAGAGUAACGGAGGCGUUCAAAGGUUCCCUCAGGCUGGAUGGAAAUCAGCCUAAGAGUGCAAACGCAUAAGGGAGCUUGACUGCAAGACUGACGGGUCGAGCAGGUACGAAAGUAGGAGUUAGUGAUCCGGCGGUUCCGUAUGGAAGGACCGUCGCUCAACGGAUAAAAGCUACCCCGGGGAUAACAGGCUGAUACUUCCCAAGAGUCCAUAUCGACGGAAGUGUUUGGCACCUCGAUGUCGGCUCGUCUCAUCCUGGGGCUGGAGAAGGUCCCAAGGGUUGGGCUGUUCGCCCAUUAAAGAGGCACGCGAGCUGGGUUCAGAACGUCGUGAGACAGUUCGGUCCCUAUCCACUGCAGGCGCUUGAAUACUGAAAAGAUCUGACCUUAGUACGAGAGGACCGGGUUGGACAGACCUCUGAUGCAUCAGCUGUCACGCCAGUGGCACGGCUGAGUAGUCACGUCUGGCACGGAUAACCGCUGAAAGCAUCUAAGCGGGAAGCCAGCUUUGAGAUGAGUAUUCGCAGUAUCCAUAGAGAACAUAUGGUUGAUAGGCUGGGGGUGCAAGUGCAGCAAUGCAUUCAGCUGACCAGUACUAAUAUUACGUCUGCUUUUAAGUU
RNAcentral lists this ribosomal RNA (1565 nucleotides) under human oral metagenome. Its description in RNAcentral is "bacterial LSU rRNA". It matches the Rfam family "Bacterial large subunit ribosomal RNA", at positions 1342 to 2925 of the family's 2925-position model. The record is from RNAcentral.